RNAcentral lists this long non-coding RNA (239 nucleotides) under Solanum tuberosum (potato). RNAcentral describes it as "long non-coding RNA (STUB_LNC001588)". Lineage: Eukaryota; Viridiplantae; Streptophyta; Magnoliopsida; Solanales; Solanaceae. The record is from RNAcentral.
UAUUUUUGAUAGCGGGGCAGCGUUUCGAGACUGUUCGGAAAGGAAAAGCUCCGGUAAAGUGAUUGGAGAGCGCACGGUUGGCCUUAAGGUAGGCUACGACUUCCUUUCUUUUAGAUUGAGCUUAAUUGUGUGAAAACAUGUCGAUUGGAGUGAAUUGGGGGUGGGUACCAGUUUACUACCUUAGUUUGAUUAGAUACCUUAUGUUAGGAUCGAUUGGCCACAUUUCGGGUAUAGUAUCA